Dicentrarchus labrax (European seabass) is the source of this 997-nucleotide long non-coding RNA. RefSeq lists it as uncharacterized. The record is from RefSeq and is a predicted model, not a curated record. The transcript has 4 exons. NCBI's taxonomy places the organism in Eukaryota, Metazoa, Chordata, Actinopteri, Moronidae.
AGAGGUCAGAGGGAGUCAGUAGAGGUCACAGAGAGUCAGUAGAGGUCGCAGAGAGCCAGUAGAGGUCACAGAGAGUCAGUAGAGGUCAGUAGAGGUCACAGAGAGUCAGUAGAGGUCACAGAGAGUCAGUAGAGGUCACAGGGAGUCAGUACAGGUCAGUAGAGGUCAGAGAGAGUCAGUAGAGGUCACAGAGAGUCAGUAGAGGUCACAGAGAGCCAGUAGAGGUCAGAGGUCAAAGGGAGUCAGUAGAGGUGAAAAGGGAGUCAGUAGAGGUCACAAAGAGUCAGUAGAGGUCACAGAGAGUCAGUAGAGGUCAAUAGAGGUCACAGGGAGUCAGUAGAGGUCAGUGGAGGUCACAGGGAGUCAGUAGAGGUCAGAGAGAGUCAGUAGAGGUCACAGAGAGUCAGUAGAGGUCACAGAGAGCCAGUCGAGGUCAGAGGUCAAAGGGAGUCAGUAGAGGUCAAAGGGAGUCAGUAGAGGUCACAAAGAGCCAGUAGAGGUCACAGAGAGUCAGUAGAGGUCACAGAGAGCCAGUAGAGGUCAGUAGAGGUCACAGGGAGUCAGUAGAGGUCAGAGAGAGUCAGUAGAGGUCACAGAGAGUCAGUAGAGGUCAGAGAGAGUGAGCAGAGGUCACAGAGAGUCAGUAGAGGUCAGUAGAGGUCACAGAGAGCCAGUAGAGGUCACAGAGAGUCAGUAGAGGUCAGUAGAGGUCAGAGAGAGUCAGUAGAGGUCACAGAGAGCCAGUAGAGGUCACAGAGAGUCAGUAGAGGUCAGUAGAGGUCAGAGAGAGUCAGUAGAGGUCAGAGAGAGUCAGUAGAGGUCACAGAGAGUCAGCAGAGGUCACAGAGAGUCAGUAGAGGUCAGUAGAGGUCACAGAGAGCCAGUAGAGGUCACAGAGAGUCAGUAGAGGUCAGUAGAGGUCAGAGAGAGUCAGUAGAGGUCAGAGAGAGUCAGUAGAGGUCACAGAGAGUCAGUAGAGGUCACAGAGAGUCAGUAG